This is a long non-coding RNA of Glycine soja, 229 nucleotides long. RefSeq lists it as uncharacterized. The record is from RefSeq and is a predicted model, not a curated record. NCBI's taxonomy places the organism in Eukaryota, Viridiplantae, Streptophyta, Magnoliopsida, Fabales, Fabaceae. The transcript has 2 exons.
AGGAAGCCACUGGAGGAGUUCUUAAAUGCAGUAGAUGGAAUCACUUUGAAUGAUAUCACUAAAAUUUCUCAGAAGAUUAUUUCCUCACCUCUCACUAUGACAUCAUAUGGGGAUGUUUUCAAUGUCCCCUGUUACGAAUCCGUUAGCAGGAAGUUCCAUGCAAAAUGAAAUUGCUUUUUCAUUCUCACCAAGCCAAAAUAAAUCCCAGAGAAUUUUUAUUGAUUGCGGA